RNAcentral lists this long non-coding RNA (273 nucleotides) under Naja naja (Indian cobra). Its description in RNAcentral is "lncRNA (ENSNNAG00000008041.1)". Lineage: Eukaryota; Metazoa; Chordata; Lepidosauria; Squamata; Elapidae. The record is from RNAcentral.
GCACUGGGAGGAGGAAGUAAAGAGAUGGUGAGAGAGAAGAACAAGUCUUCCAUUUUAGGUUCUGACCAGUUCUGGAGAACUGAUAGCGGAAUUUUGGGUAGUUCGGAGAACCGGCAAAUACAAUCUCUGACUGGCCCCACCCCCAUCUAUUCUCUGCCUCCCGAGUCUCAACUGAUCGGCUGGGUCUUCUUUGGUUGCCCUGCACAGGAGAACGGAGCUGGAAAGCAGGUCAGUGGGGUGGGGAGGAAAUGGGGAUUUUGCAGUAUCCUUCCC